Molecule: ribosomal RNA, 72 nt
Filed under: Suhomyces xylopsoci
Lineage: Eukaryota; Fungi; Ascomycota; Pichiomycetes; Serinales; Debaryomycetaceae
Description: partial 28S ribosomal RNA
Rfam family: Eukaryotic large subunit ribosomal RNA
Source: RNAcentral
UCGACCUCAAAUCAGGUAGGAAUACCCGCUGAACUUAAGCAUAUCAAUAAGCGGAGGAAAAGAAACCAACCA